This 450-nucleotide ribosomal RNA is filed under the name uncultured bacterium. Its description in RNAcentral is "partial 16S ribosomal RNA". It matches the Rfam family "Bacterial small subunit ribosomal RNA", at positions 354 to 796 of the family's 1533-position model. The record is from RNAcentral.
GUGGGGAAUCUUCCGCAAUGGACGAAAGUCUGACGGAGCAACGCUGCGUGAGUGAUGACGGUCUUCGGAUUGUAAAGCUCUGUUAAUCGGGACGAAAGAGCUCUGUGUGAAUAAUGCAGAGAAGUGACGGUACCGGAAUAGAAAGCCACGGCUAACUACGUGCCAGCAGCCGCGGUAAUACGUAGGUGGCAAGCGUUGUCCGGAAUUAUUGGGCGUAAAGCGCGCGCAGGCGGGUUUUUAAGUCUGUCUUAAAAGUUCGUGGCUUAACCCCGUGAGGGGAUGGAAACUGGAAACCUAGAGUAUCGGAGAGGAAAGCGGAAUUCCUAGUGUAGCGGUGAAAUGCGUAGAUAUUAGGAAGAACACCAGUGGCGAAGGCGACUUUCUGGACGAAAACUGACGCUGAGGCGCGAAAGCCAGGGGAGCGAACGGGAUUAGAAACCCUUGUAGUCC